CCUACGGGUGGCAGCAGUGGGGAAUAUUGGACAAUGGGCGAAAGCCUGAUCCAGCCAUGCCGCGUGUGUGAAGAAGGCCUUCGGGUUGUAAAGCACUUUCAGUGGGGAAGAAAGCCUUGGGGCUAAUACCCUCGAGGAAGGACAUCACCCACAGAAGAAGCACCGGCUAACUCCGUGCCAGCAGCCGCGGUAAUACGGAGGGUGCGAGCGUUAAUCGGAAUUACUGGGCGUAAAGCGCGCGUAGGCGGUCUGAUAAGCCGGUUGUGAAAGCCCCGGGCUCAACCUGGGAACGGCAUCCGGAACUGUCAGGCUAGAGUGCAGGGGAGGAAGGUAGAAUUCCCGGUGUAGCGGUGAAAUGCGUAGAGAUCGGGAGGAAUACCAGUGGCGAAGGCGGCCUUCUGGACUGACACUGACGCUGAGGUGCGAAAGCGUGGGUAGCAAACAGGAUUAGAUACCCCAGUAGUC
This 465-nucleotide ribosomal RNA is filed under the name Vreelandella stevensii. Its description in RNAcentral is "partial 16S ribosomal RNA". It matches the Rfam family "Bacterial small subunit ribosomal RNA", at positions 338 to 795 of the family's 1533-position model. Lineage: Bacteria; Pseudomonadati; Pseudomonadota; Gammaproteobacteria; Oceanospirillales; Halomonadaceae. The record is from RNAcentral.